Long non-coding RNA from Peromyscus californicus insignis, 1594 nucleotides. RefSeq lists it as uncharacterized. The transcript has 3 exons. The record is from RefSeq and is a predicted model, not a curated record. Lineage: Eukaryota; Metazoa; Chordata; Mammalia; Rodentia; Cricetidae.
UGUCUGCGUGCGCCUCAGAGCUGUGACAGCUGCUGUGUCCUGGGGUAGACGCUGCUUCUCCCAGACUUUGGAGGUCUGUGAUGUCAGAAAAGUGGCUCCCCCUGCCUCCACCCCACCUCUGCUGUGUCUGCGGGACUCUGGAGGAGUUUCUUAGCUGUGCAUUGUGAAGGCCAACUGUGUCUUGUGCUGUCUCAGAAGAGAGCUUGGGAUGUAGUGAUGCCUGCCCCGGGAAGGAAGCUGCUUCAGAUUCCUAGCUAGAAGCCAAAGCGAAGGUCGGAGAUGGAGGUUUCAGGAUCCAUAGCAUCGCAGGCCGAAGAAGGGUUGAAAUGCAUGGGCUCUCUCACUGAGUCAGCCUUGGAGAUGCUCUGAACACUGUCCCCACACUUCAAACGCAGGCUGAGCUCACACCAUGGCAGAGCUCAGUGAGAACUAAGGAUACUGAAUGCCCACUCCACUGCUGAGGUCCAGGCUAAGGUGGGACGGUUGCAGGGGCAGGAAGUGACGUCAUUCUGGACUCACCUGCCUUCACCCAGGAGACUCCCACCCCACCAGCAAACCUAAGGACUGGGCGAACAGCAGCUGCUCUGAACAAAGAGGGGAGGCCCUUAUCGUGGGUUCUGGAUGAUUUCUACAGCGAAGGGAGCAAGAAGCACCACAAAGCUAGUCGCCCUUCUCACUCCCACCGGUGGGCAGGGACCAGGUGUCAUACGGGCCUUUUCUUUGGAUGGGACAGCAGAUCUUCAAGAUGGAAAAAAAUAAACAAACACCCUGGUACCCACAUCCCCCAAAUAAAUGGUCACUUUUACGUGUUACAACACACCAAUUUUGAAAACUAAAAACCCAGCUAAAACAUGACUCACAAAUAUUGAACCCUAUCUUUAAUUUCAUAGCCAAGCAAAGUGAGGGGCAAGAGAGAAAGGGACCCCCAGAUCAGCAGCAUUCAACACCUUUCUCAUCCCCAGAAGGAGACUUCCAGGCCAGUAUGCACCACUUAUAUCCCACAGCACGGCUGAGUCCCAACACCCAGGCAUGGGAGGAAGGUCUAUCUCCCUUUUUCUGGGCCCUGUCCGGAGAAGACAGAGCAGAGGAAGGGCAUGGAUAACACCUGCAGGUCUGAAGGAAAAGCCAGCCAGGCAAGUAGGCAGGGAGAUAGGCCACAGAAAUAAAUAACAUAUUAUUACAGGGUGCAUUUAAAUUUAUUUAUUUGUAUUUUAUGUGCUUUGGUGUUUUGCCUUCAUGUAUAUCUGUGUAAGGGUAUAGGAUCCCUUGGAACAGGAGUUACAGACAGUUGUGAGCUGCCGUGUGAGUGCUGGGACUUGAACCCAGGUCCUCUGGAAGAGUAGCCAGUGCUCUUACUUGCUAAGCCAUCUCUCCAGCCCCCACAGGGUGCAUUUUAUUGCACACCUCCAGCCAAGGUUCAUUGAAAAGGAUAACAAAAUACUCUCCUACCAAUUUGCCACCUUUCAAGGACAAUUUAAUAAUGUUUACUUUGUUAUUAGAAAAUUGUUCCAUUUGUGAAUCUUUAGUAAUAUUCCUCCCCGGGGACACUUCUAUCUUUGGAGUCUUUCUUUUCAUUCUCCUCUUCCUCCUCCUC